This 497-nucleotide ribosomal RNA is filed under the name uncultured bacterium. RNAcentral's name for it is "partial 16S ribosomal RNA". It matches the Rfam family "Bacterial small subunit ribosomal RNA", at positions 28 to 507 of the family's 1533-position model. The record is from RNAcentral.
GAUGAACGCUGGCGGCGUGCCUAAUACAUGCAAGUCGAGCGAACAGACGAGGAGCUUGCUCCUCUGACGUUAGCGGCGGACGGGUGAGUAACACGUGGAUAACCUACCUAUAAGACUGGGAUAACUUCGGGAAACCGGAGCUAAUACCGGAUAAUAUAUUGAACCGCAUGGUUCAAUAGUGAAAGACGGUUUUGCUGUCACUUAUAGAUGGAUCCGCGCCGCAUUAGCUAGUUGGUAAGGUAACGGCUUACCAAGGCGACGAUGCGUAGCCGACCUGAGAGUGUGAUCGGCCACGCUGGAACUGAGACACGGUCCAGACUCCUACGGGAGGCAGCAGUAGGGAAUCUGCCGCAAUGGGCGAAAGCCUGACGGAGCAACGCAGCGUGAGUGAUGAAGGUCUUCGGAUCGUAAAACUCUGUUAUUAGGGAAGAACAAAUGUGUAAGUAACUAUGCACGUCUUGACGGUACCUAAUCAGAAAGCCACGGCUAACUACGUG